GACGAACGCUGGCGGCGUGCUUAACACAUGCAAGUCGAACGGUAAGGCCCUUCGGGGUACACGAGUGGCGAACGGGUGAGUAACACGUGGGUGAUCUGCCCUGCACUUCGGGAUAAGCCUGGGAAACUGGGUCUAAUACCGGAUAGGACCCUGGGAUGCAUGUCCUGGGGUGGAAAGCUUUUGCGGUGUGGGAUGGGCCCGCGGCCUAUCAGCUUGUUGGUGGGGUGACGGCCUACCAAGGCGACGACGGGUAGCCGGCCUGAGAGGGAGACCGGCCACACUGGGACUGAGAUACGGCCCAGACUCCUACGGGAGGCAGCAGUGGGGAAUAUUGCACAAUGGGCGCAAGCCUGAUGCAGCGACGCCGCGUGAGGGAUGACGGCCUUCGGGUUGUAAACCUCUUUCGGCACCGACGAAGCGCAAGUGACGGUAGGUGCAGAAGAAGGACCGGCCAACUACGUGCCAGCAGCCGCGGUAA
This 478-nucleotide ribosomal RNA is filed under the name uncultured bacterium. RNAcentral's name for it is "partial 16S ribosomal RNA". It matches the Rfam family "Bacterial small subunit ribosomal RNA", at positions 28 to 523 of the family's 1533-position model. The record is from RNAcentral.